Molecule: ribosomal RNA, 468 nt
Filed under: uncultured bacterium
Lineage: Bacteria
Description: partial 16S ribosomal RNA
Rfam family: Bacterial small subunit ribosomal RNA
Source: RNAcentral
GACGAACGCUGGCGGCGUGCUUAACACAUGCAAGUCGAACGGAAAGGCCCUGCUUUUGUGGGGUGCUCGAGUGGCGAACGGGUGAGUAACACGUGAGUAACCUGCCCUUGACUUUGGGAUAACUUCAGGAAACUGGGGCUAAUACCGGAUAGGAGCUCCUGCUGCAUGGUGGGGGUUGGAAAGUUUCGGCGGUUGGGGAUGGACUCGCGGCUUAUCAGCUUGUUGGUGGGGUAGUGGCUUACCAAGGCUUUGACGGGUAGCCGGCCUGAGCGGGUGACCGGCCACAUUGGGACUGAGAUACGGCCCAGACUACUACGGGACGCAGCAGUGGGGAAUAUUGCACAAUGGGCGGAAGCCUGAUGCAGCAACGCCGCGUGCGGGAUGACGGCCUUCGGGUUGUAAACCGCUUUCGCCUGUGACGAAGCGUGAGUGACGGUAAUGGGUAAAGAAGCACCGGCUAACUACGUG